UACAGAGGUCUCAAGCGUUGUUCGGAAUUACUGGGCGUAAAGGGCGCGUAGGCGGCCUUCUAAGUCAGGAGUGAAAUCCCCGAGCUUAACUUGGGAAGUGCUUUUGAAACUGCAGAGCUUGAGUGUGGGAGAGGAUCGUGGAAUUCCAGGUGUAGUGGUGAAAUACGUAGAUAUCUGGAGGAACACCGGUGGCGAAGGCGGCGAUCUGGCCCAACACUGACACUGAGACCCGAAAGCGUGGGGAUCAAACAGG
This 253-nucleotide ribosomal RNA is filed under the name uncultured bacterium. RNAcentral describes it as "partial 16S ribosomal RNA". It matches the Rfam family "Bacterial small subunit ribosomal RNA", at positions 524 to 776 of the family's 1533-position model. The record is from RNAcentral.